GUCUCUUUUGCUUUGGGGCAGACAAGGUGGAGCCUCCUCUCGAUAUCAUGCUGUUCUCAUUGAACUGCACAGCUUUCAGCAUCCAGUGGAGAAUGCCGAGGCAUCCCAGGAGCCCCGUCAUUGGCUAUACUGUCUUCUACUCCGAGGUCGGCGUGGAUAAAUCCCUGCAGGAGCGGUCGCAUCCUGUGCUGCUCAGCCAGGACUCUGCGGCCCUGGAACAGUCUGAUCAUCGGGUGAUUUUUG
This is a non-coding RNA of Leptonychotes weddellii (Weddell seal), 243 nucleotides long. The record is from RefSeq and is a predicted model, not a curated record. Lineage: Eukaryota; Metazoa; Chordata; Mammalia; Carnivora; Phocidae.